ACAAGAAUUCGGGAUUUUGGCGACUGAAAUUACCGACCACUAAAAAAGUAGUCGUAAAUAAGUUAUUUACCGACCAUUUUAAAAGUAGUCGGUAAUUACCGACCGUUUUUAUGUUAGUCGGUAAAUUACCGACCAUUUUUGGAUAGUCGAUAAUUUACCGACCAUAUUUCUACAUUUACCGACCACUUUGGUGUUUUUUAUUUUCGAAAAAAAUAAGAAACUCAGUUGUACCUUUACCGACCAUUUUGGUGUUUUUUAUUUUCGAAAUUAUAAGAAACUCAGACCACUUUGGGCUGUCUCUCCCAUUAAACCUAGCCCAUAUAAAGGAGAAAACCUAAACACUUCUCUCUCUCCUUCCAGCCGUUCAGAAACCUAAACACUCCUCUUUCUUCUCUCACCUCCCUCUUCCUUCCCUCUCCUCCCAGCCGUUCAGAAAUCCUAAACCACAACGACAUUGAUCAACCAAAAUCGAUUGAAAAUUAGCUUAAAACAAUUAAACUACCUGAUUUUUUAGGAAUAGAGCAGCUCUAAUUCUCUAAACAAGGUCUGAUAAUCGAAAAUGAACACGGAGUGGUCUGAUCUUUGCAACCGUCUGAUUAUCAUCAACGACGAAGCUCAAAGAAGAACAUAGAAGUGCAAAAAGGAGAUAUAAUUGAAGGAGAUUUAAUUUGUUAGGAAUUUUUUUUAUUAAAAAUUAACAAUCGGUGUUAGGAAUUGUUAGAGAUCUGUACUUGUAUUAACACUUUUUAUUGAAUAUAAUUUUUUUGAUUAUUUGUGA
Spinacia oleracea (spinach) is the source of this 778-nucleotide long non-coding RNA. RefSeq lists it as uncharacterized. The transcript has 2 exons. The record is from RefSeq and is a predicted model, not a curated record. NCBI's taxonomy places the organism in Eukaryota, Viridiplantae, Streptophyta, Magnoliopsida, Caryophyllales, Amaranthaceae.